UGGACUGAGAAGACUGGACAUGUUGCUGGGACUAAACAAAUGGCUAUUUCAAACAAAUAUUACUACAAGAGAUAGACAGUGGCUUUCAUCUGUAUCUUUUUUUUUUUUGUUACUUUUAGGGCUUGCCACGCCAGAGCUGUAGUAAUGACUGUGGGGUUUUUAUGCUUAUGUAUACCCUUUGCUCUGUGACCGGUGUGGCAAUUGAAUUCCAGGAGAUGGACAUGCCUUCAAUUCGAAAGUGGUGGUGUCUUCUUCUGAUGGAGCGCUUCAAAAUAGAAGGAUAUGGCCAGCGGUUUGCCUUCUGGACCGAUGAGGCAAGAAACUUGCUCCACGGACAACUUCAGCCAGUGUACAGGGUGCCAAAAAGUGUGCUAUUUCUGAGAAAGUCCCACUUCCCAUUCAGGCUGUUGAAGUCCGCACAACAGAGGAAAAAAGAAUUGUGGACUUUAUUGUAAAGUUAAAGGGGUCUGAGGAGCAUUUGACGGGUGUACUCAACGGGAAGCCCUCUAAAUGGUUGCAUAAGCAAGCAUCUUUCCAGGUGCCUGUCUACAUAGACAGUGAGGAAGAGCAAGAUAUCCCUUUGCUUAUCUUAAAGACGUACUGCACAGGACACCAACAAAACUGAGGUUUACAGAUGAAGUGCAGCUUAUCUGUGAUGUUCUUUUUCCAGAGGCCAUCAUACAUGCUCUGGGGGUCUUGAGGGGUUUGUCUUUAGAUGAUGCUGAGCAGGUCUACCUUUCUGGCACAAAAUAUCAUUACAGGUCAGAAUAUGAUUUAUUUUGACACAAUGCUCAGAGAAACUUUUUGUUACUGAUAUUUACAUUAACCCAUCAG
Danio aesculapii is the source of this 834-nucleotide long non-coding RNA. RefSeq lists it as uncharacterized. The record is from RefSeq and is a predicted model, not a curated record. NCBI's taxonomy places the organism in Eukaryota, Metazoa, Chordata, Actinopteri, Cypriniformes, Danionidae. The transcript is spliced from 6 exons.